AUUGAACGCUGGCGGCAUGCUUUACACAUGCAAGUCGAACGGCAGCGCGGGCUUCGGCCUGGCGGCGAGUGGCGAACGGGUGAGUAAUGCAUCGGAACGUGCCCAGUAGUGGGGGAUAGCCCGGCGAAAGCCGGAUUAAUACCGCAUACGACCUGAGGGUGAAAGCGGGGGACCGAAAGGCCUCGCGCUAUUGGAGCGGCCGAUGUCGGAUUAGCUAGUUGGUGGGGUAAAGGCUUACCAAGGCGACGAUCCGUAGCUGGUCUGAGAGGACGACCAGCCACACUGGGACUGAGACACGGCCCAGACUCCUACGGGAGGCAGCAGUGGGGAAUUUUGGACAAUGGGGGCAACCCUGAUCCAGCCAUGCCGCGUGCGGGAAGAAGGCCUUCGGGUUGUAAACCGCUUUUGUUCGGGAAGAAAUCCUCUGGGCUAAUACCCCGGGGGGAUGACGGUACCGGAAGAAUAAGCACCGGCUAACUACGG
Molecule: ribosomal RNA, 483 nt
Filed under: uncultured bacterium
Lineage: Bacteria
Description: partial 16S ribosomal RNA
Rfam family: Bacterial small subunit ribosomal RNA
Source: RNAcentral